Molecule: long non-coding RNA, 506 nt
Organism: Haliotis rufescens (red abalone)
Lineage: Eukaryota; Metazoa; Mollusca; Gastropoda; Lepetellida; Haliotidae
Exons: 3
Source: RefSeq, a predicted model, not a curated record
GUAGUCGACUUCUAUAUACAAUUGUUGCACGGUGUACGAAAAAUAGAAUUAAAUGACAAAGAACAAUAGAAUAAACGGAAUAUACAUCAUUUGAACGGUGAGUCGAUCACGUCCAGAAGUCCUACCCGUUGUUGUCUGCAUCCAGAUGGCUUCACAUUAUUCUGAUGGAAAAACAGAAUCCGUAUGGUGAAGCAUUGGCUGUCAGAGAUGCGGGGUUUCACAUACAAUACACGCAGACCUUAAAAUUAUCACGGAAGGUGGUAAAGAUACAAGACACGGAACGCUGGAGAUAUUAUCCUGACACACGUGACAAGGAAAAGUUGGUGAAUGGCGUGCUGUUCCAUGGGCUGUCAUCCAGAAGUUAAUGCGGAGUUUGCCACGCAGAUGUCAGGAUUUCAUCCGUAGACACGUGGGGCACAACAUAUACUGACAUUUGAUUCUGUCACGUCUUGACUUUGUAUGCGCGCUAUUUCAAUUGUACUGACAGUAAAGCUUAUUUCCCUUUA